This 654-nucleotide long non-coding RNA is filed under the name Bos taurus (domestic cattle). Its description in RNAcentral is "long non-coding RNA NONBTAT000456". Lineage: Eukaryota; Metazoa; Chordata; Mammalia; Artiodactyla; Bovidae. The record is from RNAcentral.
GUAGAGAAAUGCUACCUGGGUUCAUUUCUCAAGAGAGUGGCUUAGGAUGACAGACCCUGUCCAUCAGUAGCACCUUUAGUGACCUGUAAGAUGAGAUGAGUGAGACUGAAAGAAAUACCUGAGCUAGUGAGCUGAGCUUUCCUAAAUACACACUAAAACAGUCAUGUUAUGCCAAAAGGGAGUGAAUAGAAGUUGAUAACAUUAAAUGCGCAGACCGAUAGAAAAUUUACUUUGUAUGGCAGAGAUAUGUCUGUCCCCUAACAGACACACUCUAAAUUCCACUGACUUCCCUCUUCCUCAUACUGCCUCCUAGUAUUUGGCACCAGAGCUUUGUCACUCACAGAUGUUGCCUUGGGACACACAGGAGUGACCUGACUGGGUGAUAAGUGGUUUAGCUAGAAACUUUACCUUUCAUCCCAAACACAGCUCUUAACUGUUCCGAGAGCUCCACUGUCUCCUUAUCCCCUGGCUUCCCCAGCUUCUUACAAGAAAUAGAGAUGCUAACGGCACUGUCAUCACUGAAUUGGUCCUAAACCAGAGGAAUGCAAUACAAAAUGCUAUUGACGCUGUUGAAAUAGCAGGGUCUUAAGACACUGUAAAAGUACUCUACGAUAGCUCUAUCCUGCAGUGGAUAUAGGAUUCUAGUCUUUACUC